RNAcentral lists this transfer RNA (69 nucleotides) under Rattus norvegicus (Norway rat). It matches the Rfam family "tRNA". From Rfam's summary of the family: Transfer RNA (tRNA) molecules are approximately 80 nucleotides in length. Their secondary structure includes four short double-helical elements and three loops (D, anti-codon, and T loops). Further hydrogen bonds mediate the characteristic L-shaped molecular structure. tRNAs have two regions of fundamental functional importance: the anti-codon, which is responsible for specific mRNA codon recognition, and the 3' end, to which the tRNAs corresponding amino acid is attached (by aminoacyl-tRNA synthetases). tRNAs cope with the degeneracy of the genetic code in two manners: having more than one tRNA (with a specific anti-codon) for a particular amino acid; and 'wobble' base-pairing, i.e. permitting non-standard base-pairing at the 3rd anti-codon position. The record is from Rfam by way of RNAcentral. Lineage: Eukaryota; Metazoa; Chordata; Mammalia; Rodentia; Muridae.
GGGGAUAUAGCUCAGUGGUAGAGCACUUGCCUAGCAAGCGCAAGGCUCUGGGUUCGGUCCCCAGCUCCG